This is a long non-coding RNA of Sinocyclocheilus grahami, 193 nucleotides long. RefSeq lists it as uncharacterized. NCBI's taxonomy places the organism in Eukaryota, Metazoa, Chordata, Actinopteri, Cypriniformes, Cyprinidae. The transcript is spliced from 3 exons. The record is from RefSeq and is a predicted model, not a curated record.
UGAAAGGCUCCAGCGCACUGCAUCCUGCAUGGCACACUCAGGUGAAGACACGCUCACAGCGAUGAAUAUAGAGAGGAUUAUCGAGUGUAUCAGAGAGGACGAUCAGAAAGGACUGAAGGCAGAACUACAGCAAUUUAAUCGAGAGUAUGCGCAGUGUUUCUUCUAUGAUUUGGAGGAGAGGGAGAGAAGAAAA